This 1592-nucleotide ribosomal RNA is filed under the name Lacticaseibacillus rhamnosus. RNAcentral's name for it is "bacterial LSU rRNA". It matches the Rfam family "Bacterial large subunit ribosomal RNA", at positions 1222 to 2821 of the family's 2925-position model. The record is from RNAcentral. Lineage: Bacteria; Bacillati; Bacillota; Bacilli; Lactobacillales; Lactobacillaceae.
UGCGCGGUAGGAGAGCGUUCUAAGGGCGUUGAAGGUCGAUCGUGAGGACGGCUGGAGCGCUUAGAAGUGAGAAUGCCGGCAUGAGUAGCGAAAGAUCAGUGAGAAUCUGAUCCACCGUAUGACUAAGGUUUCCUGGGGAAGGCUCGUCCUCCCAGGGUUAGUCGGGAUCUAAGGCGAGGCCGCAAGGCGUAGUCGAUGACAAGCAGGUUGAGAUUCCUGCACUAGUUUAUUUUGUUUAAGCGAUGGAGGGACGCAGGAGGCUAAGGAAAGCGCACGGCUGGAAAAGUGCGUCCAAGCAGUAAGUCCGGUGGCGAGUGAAAUGCUUGCCGCCUUAAGGACAAGCUGUGAUGGGGAGCGAAAUUAAAGUAGCGAAGUUCCUGAUGUCACACUGCCAAGAAAAGCUUCUAGUGAGAAAUAAACUACCCGUACCGCAAACCGACACAGGUAGUCGAGGAGAGUAUCCUCAGGUGAGCGAGCGAACUCUCGUUAAGGAACUCGGCAAAAUGACCCCGUAACUUCGGAAGAAGGGGUGCUGACCGCAAGGUCAGCCGCAGUGAAUAGGCCCAAACAACUGUUUAUCAAAAACACAGGUCUCUGCUAAAUCGUAAGAUGAUGUAUAGGGGCUGACGCCUGCCCGGUGCUGGAAGGUUAAGAGGAUGAGUUAGCGCAAGCGAAGCCCAGAAUUGAAGCCCCAGUAAACGGCGGCCGUAACUAUAACGGUCUAAGGUAGCGAAAUUCCUUGUCGGGUAAGUUCCGACCCGCACGAAAGGCGUAAUGAUUUGGGCACUGUCUCAACGAGAGACUCGGUGAAAUUAUAGUACCCGUGAAGAUGCGGGUUACCCGCGACAGGACGGAAAGACCCCAUGGAGCUUUACUGUAGCUUGAUAUUGAGUGUUGGUACCGCUUGUACAGGAUAGGUAGGAGCCGUAGAGAUCGGAACGCUAGUUUCGAUGGAGGCAUUGGUGGGAUACUACCCUAGCUGUAUGAACACUCUAACCCGCGCCACUAAUCGUGGCGGGAGACAGUGUCAGGUAGGCAGUUUGACUGGGGCGGUCGCCUCCUAAAAUGUAACGGAGGCGCCCAAAGGUUCCCUCAGAAUGGUUGGAAAUCAUUCGCAGAGUGUAAAGGUAGAAGGGAGCUUGACUGCGAGACUGACAAGUCGAGCAGGGACGAAAGUCGGGCUUAGUGAUCCGGUGGUUCCGUAUGGAAGGGCCAUCGCUCAACGGAUAAAAGCUACCCUGGGGAUAACAGGCUUAUCUCCCCCAAGAGUCCACAUCGACGGGGAGGUUUGGCACCUCGAUGUCGGCUCAUCGCAUCCUGGGGCUGUAGUCGGUCCCAAGGGUUGGGCUGUUCGCCCAUUAAAGCGGUACGCGAGCUGGGUUCAGAACGUCGUGAGACAGUUCGGUCCCUAUCCGUCGCGGGCGCAGGAAAUUUGAGAGGAGCUGUCCUUAGUACGAGAGGACCGGGAUGGACGUUCCGCUGGUGUACCAGUUGUGCCGCCAGGCGCAUCGCUGGGUAGCUAUGAACGGAAGGGAUAAACGCUGAAAGCAUCUAAGUGUGAAGCCCCCCUCGAGAUGAGAUUUCCCAUUCCU